RNAcentral lists this ribosomal RNA (451 nucleotides) under uncultured bacterium. RNAcentral describes it as "bacterial SSU rRNA". It matches the Rfam family "Bacterial small subunit ribosomal RNA", at positions 355 to 825 of the family's 1533-position model. The record is from RNAcentral.
UCAAGAAACUUCCACAAUGGGCGAAAGCCUGAUGGAGCGACGUCGCGUGAUGGACGAAGUGCUUCGGCACGUAAACAUCUUUUAUGUGGGAUGAAAUUAUUGACAGUACCACAUGAAUAAGGGGCUCCUAACUCUGUGCCAGCAGGAGCGGUAAUACAGAGGCCCCAAGCGUUAUCCGGAAUCACUGGGCGUAAAGGGUGUCGAGGCGGUUGUAUUAGUCGUUCGUAAAAUCUACGAGCUUAACUUGUAGGCGGCGAACGAAACGGUACGACUUGAGGUUUGGAGAGGUGCGUGGAACUCACGGUGUAGGGGUGAAAUCCGUUGAUAUCGUGGGGAACACCGAAAGGCGAAGGCAGCGCACUGGCCAAAAUCUGACGCUCACACACGAAAGCUAGGGUAGCGAAGAGGAUUAGAUACCCCCGUAGUCCCUGAGCGGGCUGGCAAGGCGCAU